UACAGAGGGUGCGAGCGUUAAUCGGAAUUACUGGGCGUAAAGCGCGCGUAGGCGGCUAUACAAGUCGAGUGUGAAAUCCCCGGGCUCAACCUGGGAACUGCAUUCGAGACUGUAUGGCUUGAGUAUGGGAGAGGGAGGCGGAAUUUCAGGUGUAGCGGUGAAAUGCGUAGAUAUCUGAAGGAACAUCAGUGGCGAAAGCGGCCUCCUGGACCAAUACUGACGCUCAUGUGCGAAAGCGUGGGGAGCAAACAGGAUUAGAUACCCUGGUAGUCCACGCCAUAAACGAUGAGAACUAGAUGUCGGGAGGGUUAGCCUCUCGGUGUCGCAGCUAACGCGUUAAGUUCUCCGCCUGGGGAGUACGGCCGCAAGGUUGAA
This 375-nucleotide ribosomal RNA is filed under the name uncultured bacterium. RNAcentral describes it as "bacterial SSU rRNA". It matches the Rfam family "Bacterial small subunit ribosomal RNA", at positions 524 to 898 of the family's 1533-position model. The record is from RNAcentral.